Molecule: unclassified non-coding RNA, 18 nt
Filed under: Mus musculus (house mouse)
Lineage: Eukaryota; Metazoa; Chordata; Mammalia; Rodentia; Muridae
Description: oocyte_clustered_small_RNA9455
Source: RNAcentral
AAAUGUGAAGAAGAGGUC